GAGCUAAUACCGGAUAAUAUAUUGAACCGCAUGGUUCAAUAGUGAAAGACGGUUUUGCUGUCACUUAUAGAUGGAUCCGCGCCGCAUUAGCUAGUUGGUAAGGUAACGGCUUACCAAGGCAGCGAUGCGUAGCCGACCUGAGAGGGUGAUCGGCCACACUGGAACUGAGACACGGUCCAGACUCCUACGGGAGGCAGCAGUAGGGAAUCUUCCGCAAUGGGCGAAAGCCUGACGGAGCAACGC
Molecule: ribosomal RNA, 243 nt
Filed under: Staphylococcus epidermidis
Lineage: Bacteria; Bacillati; Bacillota; Bacilli; Caryophanales; Staphylococcaceae
Description: partial 16S ribosomal RNA
Rfam family: Bacterial small subunit ribosomal RNA
Source: RNAcentral